UCGACGGUCCUGUGACCAGCCGAAGGAUC
This 29-nucleotide small RNA is filed under the name Bombyx mori (domestic silkworm). RNAcentral describes it as "ovarian small RNA-28326". The record is from RNAcentral. Lineage: Eukaryota; Metazoa; Arthropoda; Insecta; Lepidoptera; Bombycidae.